GAAGAGGGCGCGUGUAUUUGAAUGUAACCAUUCAAUGGGGGCCGGGAUGUUUGAAUAUCCGAAUGUGUGGCAAGGGGCUCUCAUAAAGAGAGAUCCGCUCCUGCCGUGUCGUCAAUCGAUCAUUGCGUAAUUGAUCGAUUUACGGACCACGCGCAUUCCCACCUGCUCCCGUUUUUUGGCAACCUAUGUUCGUUUCCGAUUCCUCUCCUUCUUCUUCUCCGAAUCGCCACGCGAGUACCACGUGCGAAUUCUAAGAAGCGAUUACCGUAACGCGAGUUUGUGCGUACCAAAAUUAUUCUCAACCGAAUCAGUUAAUCAGCCAAGACUAUAAUUCAGUGAUUUUUGUUAUUUUGUUUAUUAAUUAGUUUCGUAUAAAUUUAAGUUUAAGUUACAUUUACGAACAUUAAAUUCCAUUUGUUACAACGAACAUUCAGUGCUACGAUUAUUUCGUUUACGCCAACUGCCCUUCCCGACAGAUCUUCUUCAGACAAGAAGAACCAAUUUAAAUUUUACAUUUUUUAAUCCGAACUCCAAACAGUAUGCAUGGAAAGUUAAGGAGUAACUACAUAUAGUUCAAUAGUAGAUAAUGACAUUUUUAUAAUAUGCAGCUGUACAGAAAACGGGCCGUGUGUAUAUUUAGAAAAUGAGAAAAAGGAAGAAGCAAUAGAGGGCGAUAUUUCAUCGACAUCUAUUAACAGACCCAGUUAUAUUUGCACGAACGCAUUACACAUAAAUGUAGAUAAUAUGACAGAUAGUAUGUUUCACCUUCAUUCAUAUUUUCACUGAUGUUCAAGUUUUUAAAUAUUAGAUUAUUAAUUAAAAUCGUUUUUCAGAUAGGGACAUUUGUAUAAGUGAUAGUCAAAUUACUGUACAGAAUUUAAUAGAAGAUAAAUUUUUUACUUACUCAUAUCUUUACUUUUGGUUUUCAUUCAACAGUUUUUCAGCAUUUAAUUUGUUACAUUUGAUAAAUACAGUGUAAAUGAUGUAUGUGUAUAAAAUACAAUGGGGUGUUUACAAAAGACUAUAAUUACAAAAGAUUACAAUAUAUGUAUUAUAUUGUAUUGUGUUUACAAAAGAUUAUAAUAUAUAUAUAUAUAUAUAUAUAUAUAUAAAUAAUACAUAUAAAUAUUUAUAUUUACAAUUUAUAAUAAUUAUAUUAUAAUUUAUAAU
Molecule: long non-coding RNA, 1170 nt
Organism: Hylaeus anthracinus
Lineage: Eukaryota; Metazoa; Arthropoda; Insecta; Hymenoptera; Colletidae
Exons: 3
Source: RefSeq, a predicted model, not a curated record